UCACGUGCUUUGUACAUGGGUUUAGAGCAUUUGGAAGAAAUCAAAACUAUUGGAGAAGAUGAAAUUAAUCCGUGGCUGGAAUUUCUCAAAGAAUAGAAACUGCUUCACGUGCUUGGUUUUGUUGCUGCAGUUCACUUAUCCACUUCCCCACUUUCCCAAUUACUUAGGAUUUGAUUUGCUUUCUUGUCAGUAUUUAUAUUU
This 201-nucleotide long non-coding RNA is filed under the name Jatropha curcas. Its description in RNAcentral is "long non-coding RNA (JCUR_LNC002917)". Lineage: Eukaryota; Viridiplantae; Streptophyta; Magnoliopsida; Malpighiales; Euphorbiaceae. The record is from RNAcentral.